This 217-nucleotide ribosomal RNA is filed under the name uncultured bacterium. RNAcentral describes it as "partial 16S ribosomal RNA". It matches the Rfam family "Bacterial small subunit ribosomal RNA", at positions 113 to 334 of the family's 1533-position model. The record is from RNAcentral.
UAGUAUGGGGGUCUGCCGCAGAGAGGGGAUAACUACUGGAAACGGUGGCUAAUACCGCAUAAUGUCUACGGACCAAAGCAGGGGCUCUUCGGACCUUGCACUAUCGGAUGAACCCAUAUGGGAUUAGCUAGUAGGUGGGGUAAAGGCUCACCUAGGCGACGAUCUCUAGCUGGUCUGAGAGGAUGAUCAGCCACACUGGGACUGAGACACGGCCCAG